CCUACGGGAGGCAGCAGUGGGGAAUAUUGCGCAAUGAUCGAAAGAGUGACGCAGCGACGCCGCGUGAAUGAAGAAGGCCUUCGGGUCGUAAAGUUCUUUCGACAGGGAAGAAAAUGCCUAUAAGUAACUGUGUAUGUAUUGACGGUACCUGUAUAAGCAGCCCCGGCUAACUCCGUGACAGCAGCCGCGGCAAUACGGAGGGGGCGAGAGUUGUUCGGAGUGACUGGGCGUAAAGAGCACGUAGGCGGUGUUGUAAGUCAUUAGUCAAAGACUAGAGCUCAACUUUAGUAAGGCUAGUGAUACUGUCAUCCUAGAGUAUAAGAGAGGUUAGCGGAAGUCCUGGUGUAGCGGUGAAAUGCGUAGAUAUCAGGAGGAAUACCGUUAGCGAAGGCGGCAAUCUGGCUGGAAACUGACGCUGAGGUGCGAAAGCGUGGGUAGCAAACAGGAUUAGAUACCCCAGUAGUC
RNAcentral lists this ribosomal RNA (465 nucleotides) under uncultured bacterium. Its description in RNAcentral is "partial 16S ribosomal RNA". It matches the Rfam family "Bacterial small subunit ribosomal RNA", at positions 338 to 795 of the family's 1533-position model. The record is from RNAcentral.